GAUGAACGCUGGCGGCGUGCCUAAUACAUGCAAGUCGAGCGAACGGACGAGAAGCUUGCUUCUCUGAUGUUAGCGGCGGACGGGUGGGUAACACGUGGAUAACCUACCUAUAAGACUGGGAUAACUUCGGGAAACCGGAGCUAAUACCGGAUGAUAUUUUGAACCGCAUGGUUCAAAAGUGAAAGACGGUCUUGCUGUCACUUAUAGAUGGAUCCGCGCUGCAUUAGCUAGUUGGUAAGGUAACGGCUUACCAAGGCAACGAUGCAUAGCCGACCUGAGAGGGUGAUCGGCCACACUGGAACUGAGACACGGUCCAGACUCCUACGGGAGGCAGCAGUAGGGAAUCUUCCGCAAUGGGCGAAAGCCUGACGGAGCAACGCCGCGUGAGUGAUGAAGGUCUUCGGAUCGUAAAACUCUGUUAUUAGGGAAGAACAUAUGUGUAAGUAACUGUGCACAUCUUGACGGUACCUAAUCAGAAAGCCACGGCUAACUACGUG
This 497-nucleotide ribosomal RNA is filed under the name uncultured bacterium. RNAcentral describes it as "partial 16S ribosomal RNA". It matches the Rfam family "Bacterial small subunit ribosomal RNA", at positions 28 to 507 of the family's 1533-position model. The record is from RNAcentral.